UCCGGUGGCGAUAGAGAUGGGGAAACACCUGUUCCCAUUCCGAACACAGCAGUUAAGCCCAUCAUCGCCGAUGGUACUACGCGGGAGACUGCGUGGGAGAGUAGGACGCUGCCGGGA
Molecule: ribosomal RNA, 117 nt
Filed under: Candidatus Zixiibacteriota bacterium
Lineage: Bacteria; Pseudomonadati; Candidatus Zixiibacteriota
Source: RNAcentral